GAGUUUGAUCUUGGCUCAGGAUGAACGCUGGCGGCGUGCCUAAUACAUGCAAGUCGAGCGAACGGACGAGAAGCUUGCUUCUCUGAUGUUAGCGGCGGACGGGUGAGUAACACGUGGAUAACCUACCUAUAAGACUGGGAUAACUUCGGGAAACCGGAGCUAAUACCGGAUAAUAUUUUGAACCGCAUGGUUCAAAAGUGAAAGACGGUCUUGCUGUCACUUAUAGAUGGAUCCGCGCUGCAUUAGCUAGUUGGUAAGGUAACGGCUUACCAAGGCAACGAUGCAUAGCCGACCUGAGAGGGUGAUCGGCCACACUGGAACUGAGACACGGUCCAGACUCCUACGGGAGGCAGCAGUAGGGAAUCUUCCGCAAUGGGCGAAAAGCCUGACGGAGCAACGCCGCGUGAGUGAUGAAGGUCUUCGGAUCGUAAAACUCUGUUAUUAGGGAAGAACAUAUGUGUAAGUAACUGUGCACAUCUUGACGGUACCUAAUCAGAAGGCCACGGCUAAC
This 511-nucleotide ribosomal RNA is filed under the name uncultured microorganism. RNAcentral's name for it is "bacterial SSU rRNA". It matches the Rfam family "Bacterial small subunit ribosomal RNA", at positions 9 to 501 of the family's 1533-position model. The record is from RNAcentral.